CAGUCGCCGCGGGAACACGUAGGUGGCAAGCGUUGUCCGGAAUUAUUGGGCGUAAAGCGCGCGCAGGUGGUUUAAUAAGUCUGAUGUGAAAGCCCACGGCUCAACCGUGGAGGGUCAUUGGAAACUGUUAAACUUGAGUGCAGGAGAGAAAAGUGGAAUUCCUAGUGUAGCGGUGAAAUGCGUAGAGAUUAGGAGGAACACCAGUGGCGAAGGCGGCUUUUUGGCCUGUAACUGACACUGGGGCGCGAAAGCGUGGGGAGCAAACAGGAUUAGAUACACCCGUAGUCCCUGUCUCUUAUAC
RNAcentral lists this ribosomal RNA (301 nucleotides) under uncultured bacterium. RNAcentral describes it as "partial 16S ribosomal RNA". It matches the Rfam family "Bacterial small subunit ribosomal RNA", at positions 509 to 807 of the family's 1533-position model. The record is from RNAcentral.